Colius striatus (speckled mousebird) is the source of this 194-nucleotide long non-coding RNA. RefSeq lists it as uncharacterized. The record is from RefSeq and is a predicted model, not a curated record. Lineage: Eukaryota; Metazoa; Chordata; Aves; Coliiformes; Coliidae. The transcript has 3 exons.
AGAUCUUGCUGUAUCUGGUUCUGUUCUUGAAAAGACAUGACAAAGCUCCAGCACAGAUGACAGUGAAACUACCACACCUAUUGUCAAAACAAUCCCAGGAUUGCCUUUCAAGGAAAAUCCAGCAGUUCACACAGACAGGCUUCAGCAGUGCUUAAAUUCUGAUCCUUUGAACACACAUAGAACUGAAAAUGAGC